RNAcentral lists this ribosomal RNA (596 nucleotides) under uncultured bacterium. Its description in RNAcentral is "bacterial SSU rRNA". It matches the Rfam family "Bacterial small subunit ribosomal RNA", at positions 112 to 704 of the family's 1533-position model. The record is from RNAcentral.
AAUGCCUAGGAAUCUGCCUGGUAGUGGGGGAUAACGUUCGGAAACGGACGCUAAUACCGCAUACGUCCUACGGGAGAAAGCAGGGGACCUUCGGGCCUUGCGCUAUCAGAUGAGCCUAGGUCGGAUUAGCUAGUUGGUGAGGUAAUGGCUCACCAAGGCGACGAUCCGUAACUGGUCUGAGAGGAUGAUCAGUCACACUGGAACUGAGACACGGUCCAGACUCCUACGUGAGGCAGCAGUGGGGAAUAUUGGACAAUGGGCGAAAGCCUGAUCCAGCCAUGCCGCGUGUGUGAAGAAGGUCUUCGGAUUGUAAAGCACUUUAAGUUGGGAGGAAGGGUUGUAGAUUAAUACUCUGCAAUUUUGACGUUACCGACAGAAUAAGCACCGGCUAACUCUGUGCCAGCAGCCGCGGUAAUACAGAGGGUGCAAGCGUUAAUCGGAAUUACUGGGCGUAAAGCGCGCGUAGGUGGUUUGUUAAGUUGGAUGUGAAAUCCCCGGGCUCAACCUGGGAACUGCAUUCAAAACUGACUGACUAGAGUAUGGUAGAGGGUGGUGGAAUUUCCUGUGUAGCGGUGAAAUGCGUAGAUAUAGGAAGG